RNAcentral lists this ribosomal RNA (523 nucleotides) under uncultured bacterium. RNAcentral describes it as "partial 16S ribosomal RNA". It matches the Rfam family "Bacterial small subunit ribosomal RNA", at positions 28 to 523 of the family's 1533-position model. The record is from RNAcentral.
GACGAACGCUGGCGGCGUGCCUAAUACAUGCAAGUCGAACGCUUUUUCUUUCACCGGAGCUUGCUCCACCGAAAGAAAAAGAGUGGCGAACGGGGGAGUAACACGUGGGUAACCUGCCCAUCAGAAGGGGAUAACACUUGGAAACAGGUGCUAAUACAGGAUAGCACUAUUUUCCGCAUGGAAUAAAGUUGAAAGGCGCUUUUGCGUCACUGAUGGCCGGACCCGGGGUGAAUUGGCUAGUUGGUGAGGUAGCGGCUCACCAAGGCAACGAUGCAUAGCCGACCUGAGAGGGUGAUCGGCCACAAUGGGACUGAGACACGGCCCAGACUCCUACGGGAGGUAGCAGUAGGGAAUCUUCGGCAAUGGACGAAAGUCUGACCGAGCAACGCCGCGUGAGUGAAGAAGGUUUUCGGAUCGUAAAACUCUGUUGUUAGAGAAGAACAAGGAUGAGAGUAAAACGUUCAUCCCUUGACGGUAUCUAACCAGAAAGCCACGGCUAACUACGUGCCAGCCGCCGCAGUAA